AAUUUGGGACAAUGGGGGCAACCCUGAUCCAGCCAUCCCGCGUGUAUGAUGAAGGNCUNNGGGUUNUNAAGUACUUUUGGCCGNNNNNAAAAGGUAUACCCUAAUACGGGAUACUGCUUACGGUCGCUGCAGCAUAAGUACCGGCUAUCUACGUUCCAGCAGCCGCGGUAAUACGUAGGGUGCAAGCGUGAAUCGGCAUUACUGGGCGUAAAGCGUGUGUAGGCGGUUCGGAAAGAAAGAUGUGAAAGCCCAGGGCUCAACCUUGGAACUGCAUUUUUAACUGUCGAGCUAGAGUAUGUCAGAGGGGGUAGAAUACCACGUGUAGCAGUGAAAUGCGUAGAUAUGUGGAGGAAUACCGAUGGCGAAGGCAGCCCCCUGGGAUAAUACUGACGCUCAGACACGAAAGCGUGGGGAGCAAACAGG
RNAcentral lists this ribosomal RNA (423 nucleotides) under uncultured bacterium. RNAcentral's name for it is "partial 16S ribosomal RNA". It matches the Rfam family "Bacterial small subunit ribosomal RNA", at positions 360 to 776 of the family's 1533-position model. The record is from RNAcentral.